UAUAAAUGUAAAUUUUUGUACUAAAUUAGUAUUAGUUAUGAUCUUUAAAGUUAAAGAAUUUGGCGGUAUUUUAGUCUAUUUAGGGGAACCUGUCCUAUAAUCGAUGAUCCACGAUUUAUAUUACUUAUUUUAAUUAGUUUGUAUACCGUCGUAGUUAGAAUAUUUUAAAAGAAUUAAAUAUUCAAGAUUCUUUAUGAUGAAGGAAAUCAGAUCAAGGUGCAGCUUAUAAAUAAGGAGAGAUGGGUUACAAUAAAUUUAUUUACAUGGUUAAUUAUUUUAAAAAUAAUUAUUAAAGUGGACUUAAAAGUAAUAAGAUUAAAUUUAAUUUUAUGAUUUUAGCUCUAAAAUAUGC
Molecule: ribosomal RNA, 352 nt
Filed under: Hadrotes crassus
Lineage: Eukaryota; Metazoa; Arthropoda; Insecta; Coleoptera; Staphylinidae
Description: partial 12S ribosomal RNA
Source: RNAcentral